This 484-nucleotide ribosomal RNA is filed under the name uncultured bacterium. RNAcentral describes it as "partial 16S ribosomal RNA". It matches the Rfam family "Bacterial small subunit ribosomal RNA", at positions 30 to 507 of the family's 1533-position model. The record is from RNAcentral.
AUUGAACGCUGGCUGCAGGCCUAACACAUGCAAGUCGAGCGGAUGAAGGGAGCUUGCUCCUGGAUUCAGCGGCGGACGGGUGAGUAAUGCCUAGGAAUCUGCCUGGUAGUGGGGGAUAACGUCCGGAAACGGGCGCUAAUACCGCAUACGUCCUGAGGGAGAAAGAGGGGGAUCUUCGGACCUCACGCUAUCAGAUGAGCCUAGGUCGGAUUAGCUAGUUGGUGGGGUAAAGGCCUACCAAGGCGACGAUCCGUAACUGGUCUGAGAGGAUGAUCAGUCACACUGGAACUGAGACACGGUCCAGACUCCUACGGGAGGCAGCAGUGGGGAAUAUUGGACAAUGGGCGAAAGCCUGAUCCAGCCAUGCCGCGUGUGUGAAGAAGGUCUUCGGAUUGUAAAGCACUUUAAGUUGGGAGGAAGGGCAGUAAGUUAAUACCUUGCUGUUUUGACGUUACCAACAGAAUAAGCACCGGCUAACUUCGUG